UCAUGGGCACAUGCUCACUUGCUCUCUUUCUCAUAUAAAUCUAAAAAAAGAAAAAAAUACAUAUCCUCUAAAAAGGAUGGAUCUCUUGUCCUCAGAUGUGGAGGCAGGCAUGAGAUCCCGCAAGCACUUUAAGGAAAGAUGUCUACGCUACAUUGUAUGUUAUGUAAAUGAGGUUGUGCUCCUCGUUAGGUGGAGAUUUUAGUAUUACAAUGAGGUGUAGGUAGUUGUCCAUCACUCAAGAGGACAUUCUGUGGUCCAAGGGCCCAGGUGUGAGCCAGGGGUUAAGCUCAAGCUGGUUUGGGUGGUGUGGGCCUGCUGGAGGUCUUAUCAGGACCUUCCCUGUGCUAUUGGCCUCUGCCUGAGUCAAUAAACUGGAAAGAAGAGCUUAAGGAGAAAUGUAGAAAAGAGGUCGCUGAGUACAAGCAAGGGGCUGUAAUGGUGAGGGCUUGGGUUCUAGCUGGUAUCAAAAAGACAAUGUUCUUUCUGACUUUGGUCUGCUCCUGAUAAAAAAACUGUGAAAGGUUUUUCUCUACCUUUCAAGCUGACAGCAAAAGAUUUUGUGUUUUACUGAAGUAAUUUCCUGUGUUUCAUGUUAUCUUUAUCAUCAAUUUUUUGAUUACUUAAGAAAACCCAGGCUUCUCAAGAGUAAGAGCCCAGUUUUGCUCACAACUAUGUAAGCUUCUGUAUUUGCCUUUGAAAUCUUUUGUCACUUUGGUUAAAAUAGGUAAUCAAGGAUUGCUUCUAAAUUCUGGUCAAGUAUUCAAAACUAUUGAGCUUUUUGAAGAGCUGAAACUCAAAUUCUAAAUGAAAUCUUUUUAAAAAGAUUUUAUGUACUUAUUUGAGAGAGGUAGCAUGAGAGGGGGGAGGAUCAGAGGGAGAACCAGACGCCCUGCUCUAGGGAGCCUGGUGCGGACUCAUCCCGGGCUCCAGGAUCAUGACCCAAGCCAAAGGCAGUUGCUUAACCAACUGAGCCACAGGCACCCUAAAUGAAGUCUUUUUGACCUUGAAAUAACUAGGGAUGUUCCAGAGGGCCCCUAGAACAUCUCAAGAUUUGUUUCUCUCCUUGUUAAAAGAGCUAUUAAAUUAAAAAAAAAAAAAAAAAAAGCUAUUAAACUACUUAGACUUCUAGUAAAUUACAUGGGAAGCACUCCCAAGUAAGAGAUACUAACCUUUGCUUCGGUUGUAUUUGUAUGGCUACAGGUCAUUAACAUAAAUGUUCCAGAAAUUGUAAUUCCUAGAAAUCUGUUAGGUCGUCACCACUUAUAAUUCUACUUAUUAUCAGUUGCACAAUGGUGAACUUUCACUAGAUCUUUAGCCAUGGCCAUUUUUAAAGUGUUGCUAUUUAUAGGAGUGACGGUCUGCUUUUCCAAGAUGGCUUCAUAAUCAAGGAGAUUCAUGGAAAAAACUCUGACAAAUACAGGCAUCUUAUAACUUUCAAUCAUCCAUUGAACUUCGAAAACUAUGGAAAAAGUGGAAUUACAAAAUUGCUAAUACGAGACCAAGAUAAGCAAGGAUAACAUGUGAUUGAAUGAACCAAUGAAGACGAUUUUAAUUUUUAUGACUUUGAAAUACUAGUUAUUUCCAGACUUAAGGGAAAGCUUUUUAUUUUUUCUUAAGCUACCUUUGACUUAGAGCAAUUUGGUAAAGUAUGUAUUAAUGAACAAAAUAAAACAAUUAUUUUUUUCUCCCUACCUGGUCCCUCUAGAAUUUGGAAACUCAUAGGGACCCUUCUGAUUUCCAUGGCAAUAUGGUCACUUGUCAAGUUCAAUAAGCAUCUGUUCUUAUAAGAGGACGCAGUUAGAAACAGUGGUUAUACUACCAAGACUUUGAGUGGACUGUCAUAUUUGAGAAUGUCCAUAGAAUCAGACGUGACUGUGCAGUUUUAAGAAGGUUAGUUUGACUUUAUGGAGUUGGUAUGACCCCUUUACAGGGUUUGAGGCAGCCUUACCCAGUAAGAAAGGUUACUUUCUGGCAGGGGCAGGAACCACAGAAUAUUUGGGGGAAUCUUAAGAGAGGAACUAACCUAAAUCUAUAGGUAUUAUAGGCAACAUGAGGGUAAGUUCCAAUCUGAGAUUCCUUAUGAUAAGUUCCAGUAAGUUCCAAAAUUUCAAAGAGCAUAUACGGUCAACCACUACUUGUUAUGUAAAUAAUCAGGCCAAGUGUAAUUUUGUUAUUAUUUUUGGCAGAAGUGGGGAUGCUUACAGAGAAAGAUGAUGCUUCAGUGGAAACUCUACUACACCCCUGUGAGUAUCAGAUUCUAGUUGUGUUGUCUGACGUUUCAUUAUUUACCUGUAAAUGGAAUUCUUCUAGUUUCCUUGCAUAAUCUUGCUAGAAACCUCCUCAAAGUAACAUUCCCAAUUUUACUCUCUUUUGACUUGGAGUCACUGAAAACAAACUGCAUGAAAUUCCUGGAAAUUUGAUUUGAUACGUCGUGCUAUAAUGUUAUCACUUAUAAUUCUAGUUACCUUAAAAUGUAGGUCACAGAAGUAACCAGAUGUCCUUGUCAGCUGCAUUGUCGUGAACUCUCAUCAGAUCUUUAAUAUUGGCCAUUUUGUAAGUUUUUUGUCAAUUACAGAAGUUAUUUCAGAACGUUUUGCAAAAGCGUGGAGCCAAGCCCUGCAAACUGAAUGUGAAUGACUUGCUGUAAACUCCACUGAAAUGCCCCAGUAGCUCAUGUUUACAGUCUUCGUGCCUGUUACCUUGUGGGCCAAAGUUGACCUCAACACCUGAUGACAGAGACAUUCACGCUGCAGAAGAUCCUUUGACCCCAAGUAGAAAUCUUCUGACUGGCUGCCCUCAGGGGAGAGAUUCAGUGCAUGAUUUGCUCCAACCAUUACCCUUUUCCUCCCCCCCCCAUAGAAAUGCUGAUUAAAUCCCUGCUUGCACUGUAGAGGCCUAGCUGGGCUUCCACCUGCCCCUCCAGCUCCCCAAAUGAGCCAGCCUGACCUGUUCGCAAGACCGAGACUGGUUCCAUGAAACUACGGAACAAUCUGUCAAUCCACUCAGCUUCUGGACUGUGAAGUCAGCUCUGCAGAGCCCACUGUGGAGCUUGAAGUCAUCCCCUGACAUCAAAGCCACAUGCCCCACCGACUAGGCCAGGCACGCCUGCUCUCAAGAAUUUCUAAGAGUAAAGAAAUAAGAACUUCCCUUUAUAGAGGGCAGCGGUCAAAGACGUGAAAGCCUUGCACACCCACUCCAGUCUGUCUCCCUGCAACUCCUGCAUACCUCGGCCCAUUCUUCUAUGCAGCCCACUGGUGGCAGUUAAGAUCUGGAAUUCAUUACCCGACAGAUCGCUGGCCACCAACAUCUACCAUCCUGUUCGGCACAAACACAGGGCAUCCAAAGGUUGAAACACAUGGCUCUUUGGAGAUGGACAGGAAUCGUCAUAUCGUAGACCCAACACCCCAUCCCUUGGCGGCAAGUUGCACAGACAAGGGAAUGCGGCCCCUCCUAUGCUCCCCCAUCCCGGCCGCAUCUCCCGGCAAUGACCUCAUGCAGAGCUGGCUGUUCACUGGCGGCUGUGCCCUGCUUGCUGGAAAGGUGCUUAUAUCUUGUGUUAUUCAUCUUCAUUAGCAAUCCAACAGGAAGCUGGAGAAAGGGGAGAUCUUAGAGAUUUACUUGACUCGGGGCAGAACCGAGGGCUCUGAUGAAGCCAGCAUGACUCUGUGUCCCUCUCCAUCCAGAGUGGCUAUUAACUCUUCCCCCUGGACGGUGGGAUCCUCCGCAGGGAGGGGGUCCCAGUCGCAGAAUCUCAGACAGGUCUUGGCAGCAUGGGUUAGUGGGAAGCGCCCUGGACCGGGAAUAAGGAGCCCGAGUUCUAGUGCAUUUGGGGCUUGUAAGGACCUCAGCGGUUCCCUAUCUCCACAUCCUCAUUUGUAAAAGGAGCCAAAGACUUUCAAGGCAUCCGGUUUAUCAGUUAUAAAGUAUUACCCAAAUGUAGGCAAAACCAGCCCUAUUAUUGUGACAGAUGCCUAACACUGUUGGCAGAAAGAGGACACACUGAUGGCCUUCCAGCCACAACUUCGAAUCCUGCCCAUGAGCACAUCUGGCAUCCCCUGCCCAAUCCAAGCCAGAGAGAGAGCGAGCGCGCGCGCAGCCCACAGAAGCUGGUUAGUGUGUGGCCCGAGCCUCGGCGCUGGCUUCCUCACGCUUCCCUGCCUGCCUCCACUACCCUCUUCCUCCCGAAUAGAAUCAGAUGGUCUCUCCCCACCCUGGGCUUGGCAUUGAAAGGAUCUGUUUUCUUCCCCGUGUUUGUAAUGAGCCAGUGUCUUAACACUCCCGAUACCCCAGAACCUAGCGCAGUGCCUGGUGGUACAGCAGCCCGCAGACAUGCUGCCCGUACACCGGUCCAUCACCGGAACACAGAACAUCCCGAGAAAGUAACAGCUGAAGAACGUGAGGGCAGGUGACGGCAGCCUGUGCCCAUCCCAGCAAGAGCACUGCUCGAGGGCAGGAAGGGCUCUCUGGGAGGAAAAGCCUUGGUGAUUGCUGGCCAGCCCGUCUUCCUCACUCUGCCCCUGGCAGACAGAAUCCUUGCUUCUGGGGUGCCUGCCUCUCGUGCUGCUCUCCUAACUACGACUUUUUUAAAACUUAUUUUUAAAGUAAUCUCUACACCCAGAGUGGGGCUCGAACGCAUGACCCCGAGACCAAGAGUUGGCAGCGCCCCCUACCUGCAACGAUUACAUUCAGCUCACCGGAGAGUCCCACCUUCCUGAGCGGGUACAAUGCGCAGAGAGGCCCCGCCAUACCACCCUGCAUACCGAGCUCGAGCCAGAAACCCUCUUUCCU
Molecule: long non-coding RNA, 4788 nt
Organism: Mustela erminea (ermine)
Lineage: Eukaryota; Metazoa; Chordata; Mammalia; Carnivora; Mustelidae
Exons: 4
Source: RefSeq, a predicted model, not a curated record